GGUCAUCAUUCUGCUGCGGUGUGCGACCCUGUCUUGGUCAUGGAUGUCCCCGUGUGGGUGGAUGUAUGCCUGGACUGCCGUUCGGUGUCUCGUGUGGGCCGCUGUCUGUGAGUGUGUGUGUGCGUGCGAGGUGGGUGCCAUCGCCGGGGUCCGUGGGCGGCCUGUCCUGUAAUUCGCUGGACCGGGCUGCAGCCUUGGACAUGCUAUUGUGGGGCUAUCCUGGUGCCACGACUAAUUAAAGGGCCAAUAUUCCCCGGCGCGUUCUCCCUCCCCCACUGAAGCUGUUCUUGAUACCGGCUGAAACCGUUCUGGAUUCUGGUAAAACUUCUGAUUACACAAGCAAUCUGGAAACUGGUUUUUUUGUGCUUUCUCCCCUAUCAGGUC
Long non-coding RNA from Gasterosteus aculeatus aculeatus (three-spined stickleback), 384 nucleotides. NCBI's taxonomy places the organism in Eukaryota, Metazoa, Chordata, Actinopteri, Perciformes, Gasterosteidae. The record is from Ensembl.